Molecule: unclassified non-coding RNA, 2748 nt
Organism: Stegodyphus dumicola
Lineage: Eukaryota; Metazoa; Arthropoda; Arachnida; Araneae; Eresidae
Source: RefSeq, a predicted model, not a curated record
AUCUCAAAUAGCUUAGGGACUUAUAUCUGCUCAAGGAGCUAAAUUAGAAGAUAAAACUAUAGAAGAAAACAGCAUAGAAAAACCAGAUUAAAAUUAUAAAGAAAUAUCCUUGAUCUUCACUGAAUGGGUAACAAUAAAUUUGAAAAAGCUAAAGGUUUCUUCGAGAAAUUUAAAAAUGCACAAUCUGUAGGGAAGGUAUAAUCGAAUAUUUUCCUAGUGUAGACUGAAUUUUAAUUUAAAAUUCUAGAUAUGAUUUUACACGUUCGAGAACACAUUAGUAAAUAAUUAAGACGUUACUACCUCCUCUAGAUUUUCUGCAAGAUUAGUAUUUCGCAGAUGUUUCAAAUUUUCACAGAUUAAAACAUAACUGUUGCAGCUAAAUGGGUGGAGACUUUAUCUCUAUGUUCUCUCCUCGAUAAUGGACUUUUAGUGUUUUCAUAUCAAAUUUUUUGUAUUGACUCAAGACUGUAUUUCUGUAAUAUUUCAGAACAUUCUGAACUUUUUCAAUGAUUAGAAUAUUUUUACUUUCAUUUUUUCGAAACUUAUUCGAUUCCAGUGAAUUCAUUCAGAACUGAGAAAAUAGAUGGCGGCACUGGCUUAAGAGACUUUCGAAUUUACAAAUACUGGCUUUGUCUCCUUUUUAUUCUCGCCUUCUCAUGAAAGGUACAAUGGAAUCGUACUUCUUAUAAUUACCGUGAGAAGCCUUAAGUUGUUAAGCCGAUAGUUUGAACUUCUGGUAAAAACUCUGUGUAGUUCUAAGCCUGAAGCGAAAUGAAAACUCCAAAUCUCAUCUAACUCACAGCGGAGCGUGAAAUGUACGCAUGCGCAGUGGUUACUUUCUUCCUCGACAUCUUGUAUGUCCUAGGAAAAGUAUCAUAUGUAGAGAAGAUAUAUCUGAAAUUUUCGAUCGUCGCUGUGUAUAUUAAUGAAUACUCAUCUUGUGUGUUAUUAGUCGCCAAUUGUGGAAAAGGGGGAUUGUAUCAAAUAUAUGAGUGUAGAGCUUAUCUUAAGAGCUCUUCUAAUGCAUGCACAGUUUGCGCUUAUCUGCACAGCGAUGACGUAACUCUUUUUCGCAAUGUACAUGGGCUGUUGCAUUUGUAGAUGCCCAAGCUGUCAUUUUAACAGGAGCAGAUGUGAUUAAUACUUGAAUUUUCUACCCAUGGUGGUAGUAAUUUUGGUUAUUAACCAUUGCCUAAGAGCAACAAAAUCUAACAAAUGGUGUGGUGUCUUGAAAAUUAUUCUUAUAAGAUUUCAUGAGAAUGUAUAUCGCUGAGAAUACAUGAAUCACAACUACAUUUCACUGCAACUUCACUGGCUACCAAAAUUGCGAUGAUCAGCAAAACAGUACAGUUAAGCUAAGUGGCUCGAAGCACAGACGAGGAAUUAAGAUUAGUCCUACUGCAAUUGAGUACACUUCAACAUCAGAAAAAGGACAAAUAUCGUUUUUAGUAAUUUUCUUCAAUAUCAACUUAUUUCGAUUCAUGAGAUUCAUGAUCAUACUUCUUCAGGACAUGGAAAAAAUUUGACACUGAUGCUACUAUAUCUAGAAUACUAGAUUCAUUUUUCUUCAUCCCAAGUCAGCAGAGAUCCUUCUCGAAGAAAAAGUUAUACAGCUGCUUUUAAACUUUUGGCAAUGAAGAAAGCGAUCGAAAUUGGAAAUCGUGCUGCAGGUAAAGAAUUUCAAGUUGAGGAGCGAUGCAUUCGGCUGUGGAAGUCCGAACAAGAAGAAUUAAAGGAAAUACCUAAGAAUAACAAAUGAGCGUUUAAAAUUUUGUUGGAAGACCUAAUUGAUGUUUCGGGUUCAUGAAGCGAAAGGAAUUAUCUGUCAAGGACCAAAACAACAGUUGGACAAAAGCUUCUCGUGGACUGGCUUGAAAAAAAGGAAAGAUAGCUUUUUUGGAGUACACAUAUAAGAAAGUUAUAAAACAAAAUUUGAAAAGAGGGCAAAUAACUAAUGUGGAUGAAGUGCACAUUACUUUUGAUUGUCCUCAGAGCAGAAAUGUUCAUUCAGUAGGUGAAAAAACUAUUUCAGUGUUAACAACCGAGAAUGAAAAGACUUCUUUUGCUUGUUUCGCCAAUGGAAGAGAAGUUAACGCUUUUGAUAAUUUUCAAAAGGAAACUUCCCUAAAGGAGUAUUAUUUGUGUGAACGAAAAAGGACGGAUGUGCGAAGAAGUGAUGGUUGGCUGAGAGAAAUUUGUCAUAAAAGGAAAGGUGCUUUUUUCAAACCCCGGAUAACUCGAAUCAUUCUGGAUUCACUGCGAUCCCAUUUAACGGAUACGGUAAGAUCUGAAGCAAAAAAAAACUUAGCACCGAUGUCUCAGUGAUACCAGGUGGGCUUGCAAAAAUUUCACAGCUGCUGGAUCUCUUUAUAACAGGAAUUUUCAAGCAUGAACUAUAAAAGCAGUGGGAGGAAUGGGUGCAAAGCGGACUCCAUUCCUUCACAAAUUCUGGACGAAUGAGAAAAGUUUCGUAUGAGGAGGCUGCCUGCUGGGUCUAUAACACAUGACAAUCAGUCCGAGCUGAUACAAUUGUAUCAGCUUUACAAUUACAAAGCUGAUACAAUUGUAUCAGCUUUCAUUAAAUCGAAAAUCAUCGAAAAUGAAAGUGAAGAUAGUGACGUUGCAAGAAGUGAUUUAGAAUAGAAUGAUGAAAUUGACCUUAAUGGUCAUUUGUUAAAUUUACUUAAUUCUGACGUCAAUGAGUCAGAUUUUGAAGGUUUUGUAAGUAAUAAAUGUAGUUUAAUUUAA